AGCCCAGCAACUCCUAUCCCUACCUCCUCGUGGUACUGGCCGGCUGCGAAAGGCCUGGAAAAGUUUCAGAAAAUGGAGUCGCUAAAACCGAAGG
This 94-nucleotide ribozyme is filed under the name Aedes aegypti (yellow fever mosquito). RNAcentral describes it as "drz-agam-1 ribozyme". It matches the Rfam family "drz-agam-1 ribozyme". The record is from Rfam by way of RNAcentral. Lineage: Eukaryota; Metazoa; Arthropoda; Insecta; Diptera; Culicidae.